CUUAUAGGGCCUUCAAAGUCACCUGCGUCAGAAUUCAUCUAUAAUAUACCCCUUUAAUACCUUCACUCUCAAGACUUUCACUUCCUUCAUAUCCUUCCUUUCUCCCUAUUAGCUAACCUUCGAUGGCGUGCCGGAGGGAAGUAUAUUAGGUCUUACUGUGUCUUAUAGGGCCUUCAAAGUCACCUGCGUCAGAAUUCAUCUAUAAUAUACCCCUUUCAUACCUUUACUUUCAAUACUUUAACUUUCUUCCUAUUAGUUAACCUUCGAUGGGGUGUCGUAGGGAUGUAUAUUAGCUCUCACUGUUAUGCCUUGUAGUGUCUUCAAAGUCACCUGAGUCGAAGUGGGCUUAUAAUAUGAAAAGACUUGCUUCGUAUAUGUAUGUGUGUGUUAAUGGUUUUACCUUGUUGGUUUUGGGGUUAGAAUGUUUAGGGAAAUGGUAGUAAUUUUCCUUUUGUUUUGUUUUCUUGGUUUCAUAGCUAUAUAUUAUUUUU
Long non-coding RNA from Eriocheir sinensis (Chinese mitten crab), 491 nucleotides. RefSeq lists it as uncharacterized. The transcript is spliced from 2 exons. Lineage: Eukaryota; Metazoa; Arthropoda; Malacostraca; Decapoda; Varunidae. The record is from RefSeq and is a predicted model, not a curated record.